CAGUCGCCGCGGGAAUACGAAGGGGGCUAGCGUUGUUCGGAUUUACUGGGCGUAAAGCGCACGUAGGCGGACUUUUAAGUCAGGGGUGAAAUCCCGGGGCUCAACCCCGGAACUGCCUUUGAUACUGGAGGUCUUGAGUAUGGUAGAGGUGAGUGGAAUUCCGAGUGUAGAGGUGAAAUUCGUAGAUAUUCGGAGGAACACCAGUGGCGAAGGCGGCUCACUGGACCAUUACUGACGCUGAGGUGCGAAAGCGUGGGGAGCAAACAGGAUUAGAUACCCCAGUAGUCCCUGUCUCUUAUAC
This 301-nucleotide ribosomal RNA is filed under the name uncultured bacterium. RNAcentral's name for it is "partial 16S ribosomal RNA". It matches the Rfam family "Bacterial small subunit ribosomal RNA", at positions 509 to 807 of the family's 1533-position model. The record is from RNAcentral.